ACGGUGGAGUUGAGGAAACGCAGGUGACCUCGAAAUGAAUGUUGAGGCUUUGACCUGGCGCGUUUGGAGCAAGGGAGAGGACGACAUUCGGCAGCAUUUUCCUAGCUCCUGCUUUCGGGAUCCGACUUGAUGUAGGCUGAGACGGCGCUGCCUCUCGGUGUUUCCAGCCACUGUAGGAGCACGGAAUGGGAGGCAGAGGAGGGAGCGCCUGCGGCCGAGAGGAGCCACUGGGCCAGGAGGGGUUCCAGCUCCUAAAGGAUUCUGUCACCAGUCAUGCUGCUGCUACGUUGAAGUUGUCAGCUCAUCACCCUGCAACAGGGCUGUUGAAUCAAACCUCAAAAGCAGUGACCUUUGAGCGUUAUCCAUGAGUGAUCGCAAAUGGAAAGCACCCACCCGGGGCCAGAGCUCCUGCACUGGCCUCAGCAGACCAGACUAAGAAUCACAGUCACCCACACUAAAGGUCCAUGUCACCAAAUAGAUGUUUUUUGACCUUCUGAGAAGUUGAGAGAGAAGUAGUGAAACUUCCCAAACAGGACAGAUGCUGUUGACAUAACAAAUACUCUUCUGUGUUAGCCAGUAUGUUUUACCCACUAACCUCAAGUAAACUGUUGUUAACCAACUGCUUGCUAUUCUACUGUUGUUUCAGUCUGCCUUAUAAAGAAAGUAACUUUCUUUAGCA
Long non-coding RNA from Cavia porcellus (domestic guinea pig), 679 nucleotides. RefSeq lists it as uncharacterized. The transcript is spliced from 2 exons. NCBI's taxonomy places the organism in Eukaryota, Metazoa, Chordata, Mammalia, Rodentia, Caviidae. The record is from RefSeq and is a predicted model, not a curated record.